UAAGGAAUAUUGGUCAAUGGACGCAAGUCUGAACCAGCCAUGCCGCGUGGAGGAUGAAGGUCCUCUGGAUUGUAAACUUCUUUUAUCUGGGACGAAACACUUCUUUUCUAAGAGGCCUGACGGUACCAGAUGAAUAAGCACCGGCUAACUCCGUGCCAGCAGCCGCGGUAAUACGGAGGGUGCAAGCGUUAUCCGGAUUCACUGGGUUUAAAGGGUGCGUAGGUGGGUAUGUAAGUCAGUGGUGAAAUCCCCGAGCUUAACUUGGGAACUGCCAUUGAUACUAUAUAUCUUGAAUACCGUAGAGGUGAGCGGAAUAUGUCAUGUGGCGGUGAAAUGCUUAGAUAUGACAUGGAACACCAAUUGCGAAGGCAGCUUACUAUGCGGUGAUUGACACUGAGGCACGAAAGCGUGGGUAGCAAACC
Molecule: ribosomal RNA, 422 nt
Filed under: uncultured bacterium
Lineage: Bacteria
Description: bacterial SSU rRNA
Rfam family: Bacterial small subunit ribosomal RNA
Source: RNAcentral